CGGAAGACAGUCAUGCUCUCUUUACAAGAGGACCACAAACUACAUAGAUAACCACAACAUAAUCCACUUUGGAAGCAGCAUUCAAGGAACAGCAAAUCCUUUCAUCAUACAAGUGCCCAAAGCAGUACCGACCUCAAUAGAAAUAACGGUGCAGGUGUAUGACAAUGAUGACACCUCCAGUGACGACCACAUGGACACACUCUCCAAACGGAUCAACAUCCGGGCCAAUGCUUCAGAACAGACAGCCGUGUACAACCCAUACACAGUGUGGGGAAGGACAAAGUUACAGAUUCAGGUCCGUGCCUACUGCGACCCGGACUGGUACGGGUCAGUGUGUGAGAAAUAUUGCAAGGCAACCACUGACCCGAGUCACUACACGUGCCACGCACACACAGGAGCAAAAGUGUGCUUU
Haliotis rufescens (red abalone) is the source of this 412-nucleotide long non-coding RNA. RefSeq lists it as uncharacterized. The record is from RefSeq and is a predicted model, not a curated record. Lineage: Eukaryota; Metazoa; Mollusca; Gastropoda; Lepetellida; Haliotidae. The transcript is spliced from 3 exons.